GUGGAAAAGACAUUGAUAUGAUAUUUAUGUUUUUUUGUUUUGGAUUGGCUUCUGCAUCAAGAGUUUUUACUAAGGUUUUAAAACCUGUCUAUGUAUUUAUGAAAUAAUGUCACUUGAAGUAUAUACAUGCUAUAGUUUAUACAUUGAUGAUUAUUUUAUUAUGGAUCAGAGUUUAGAUGAUUGUAUUGUGAAUACAGAAGAAGUGGUGCAAAUGCUUGAUAAGCUGUGCUUCAGAAAAAUUUUGAGAAGUUGGUACUCAUUCCUUGGAAGCACAUUGUUUUCCUUUGUCUCAUUAUUGAUACUGAGCUAUUUAAGUUUUUUCUGACAGAUGAGAAAUGGUAAAAUUAUCUCCCUUGGGAAAUUCUUUUUAAAUAGAAUUGUGUAACGGUAUUAUAGAUGUUUUACAUCAUUUAUUGGUCUUGUGAUGAAUGCUUUUAAUGCAGUAUCUGUGGCAUGCAUGGGAAUGUUACAUUGCAGAAACAUGGCGAGAAAUAAUGUUGAAACACUGUAUAGUUGUUACAGUGUUUAUUAUCAUCAAUAGGUGAAAUUUUUUAACAAUUUAAAAUCAGAAAUUAAAAAUUUGAUUUAUAGACCCAUCCAAAUAAGUUUUUGGGUUGUACCAGAUUCCUCUGACAUAAGGAUUUGGGAUCCAAAUUUGAAGAAAAUGUUUCUGUUGGUAGACGGAGCUUCUUUAAGAGUAUGCACUCAUUUCAUAUAGAUUUCAUAGUAUUGUUGGCUAUAAUAUUCUUCUGGAGAAAAAGUUUUAGUCACAGAGAGUUAUACAAUCAGAAGAUACAAUUUCAGUAGCUUUUAUUAUGCAAUAGGAGGUGUAACCUCUUUGUCACUUAACAUGCUUACUACAAAUAUUUCAUUAUUUGGGCUUGGUGUUCAAGAAAGAACAUUUUUAUCACAGCUCUUUAUAUUCCUGGUAAGAAAAUUUUUGAUGCUUAUCAUAUGUCUAAAAAAUUUACAGAUUCAAAAGGAUGUCAAUUGAAAGAAGAUAUAUUUGUUUUGUUGUUAUUACGUUUUCAUUUUCAAUCUGUAGAUAAUUACUUCGUUGUCUUUUGACCAACAAGCUCCUU
This 1082-nucleotide long non-coding RNA is filed under the name Mytilus galloprovincialis (Mediterranean mussel). The record is from RNAcentral. Lineage: Eukaryota; Metazoa; Mollusca; Bivalvia; Mytilida; Mytilidae.